GUCAGGGUGGCCGAGUGGUCUAAGGCGCCAGACUCAAGGACAGACUCCUUCCUGUCACAGGGGACUUCUGGUCUCCACAUGGAGGCGUGGGUUCAAAUCCCACUCCUGACA
Molecule: transfer RNA, 111 nt
Filed under: Hippoglossus stenolepis (Pacific halibut)
Lineage: Eukaryota; Metazoa; Chordata; Actinopteri; Pleuronectiformes; Pleuronectidae
Description: tRNA-Leu
Rfam family: tRNA
About the family: Transfer RNA (tRNA) molecules are approximately 80 nucleotides in length. Their secondary structure includes four short double-helical elements and three loops (D, anti-codon, and T loops). Further hydrogen bonds mediate the characteristic L-shaped molecular structure. tRNAs have two regions of fundamental functional importance: the anti-codon, which is responsible for specific mRNA codon recognition, and the 3' end, to which the tRNAs corresponding amino acid is attached (by aminoacyl-tRNA synthetases). tRNAs cope with the degeneracy of the genetic code in two manners: having more than one tRNA (with a specific anti-codon) for a particular amino acid; and 'wobble' base-pairing, i.e. permitting non-standard base-pairing at the 3rd anti-codon position.
Source: RNAcentral